Non-coding RNA from Triticum aestivum (bread wheat), 74 nucleotides. The record is from Rfam. Lineage: Eukaryota; Viridiplantae; Streptophyta; Magnoliopsida; Poales; Poaceae.
AGCGGGGUAGAGGAAUUGGUCAACUCAUCAGGCUCAUGACCUGAAGACUGCAGGUUCGAAUCCUGUCCCUGCCU